This 468-nucleotide ribosomal RNA is filed under the name uncultured bacterium. RNAcentral's name for it is "partial 16S ribosomal RNA". It matches the Rfam family "Bacterial small subunit ribosomal RNA", at positions 28 to 507 of the family's 1533-position model. The record is from RNAcentral.
GAUGAACGCUGGCGGCGUGCUUAGCACAUGCAAGUCGAACGGAAAGGCCCAAGCUUGCUUGGGUACUCGAGUGGCGAACGGGUGAGAAACACGUGGGUGAUCUGCCCUGCACUUCGGGAUAAGCCUGGGAAACUGGGUCUAAUACCGGAUAGGACGAUGGUUUGGAUGCCAUUGUGGAAAGUUUUUUCGGUGUGGGAUGAGCUCGCGGCCUAUCAGCUUGUUGGUGGGGUAAUGGCCUACCAAGGCGUCGACGGGUAGCCGGCCUGAGAGGGUGUACGGCCACAUUGGGACUGAGAUACGGCCCAGACGCCUACGGGAGGCAGCAGUGGGGAAUAUUGCACAAUGGGCGCAAGCCUGAUGCAGCGACGCCGCGUGGGGGAUGACGGCCUUCGGGUUGUAAACUCCUUUCGCUAGGGACGAAGCGUUUUUGUGACGGUACCUGGAGAAGAAGCACCGGCUAACUACGUG